This 59-nucleotide microRNA precursor is filed under the name Columba livia (rock pigeon). RNAcentral describes it as "Cli-Mir-9648_pre stem-loop". The record is from RNAcentral. Lineage: Eukaryota; Metazoa; Chordata; Aves; Columbiformes; Columbidae.
CAUGCCAUUAAUUUCUAAGCAGUCAAUGAGGAAUUCUGCUGUAGAAUUAAUGGCAAAAU